AUAUUUUGACAUUUCAUAUCAAACUGUUCAUUAGAUGGUUUUCCCUCUUACAGUGGUCUGAAAUGGCAGAUUUCAGAUUUUCCUGUGUUGCUUUCAUUCCUGUUGCACGGGUGAGCGUUCCAGAUGUUUUCUUUUUCACAUUCUUUCUGGUGUUCCUUUUUUCGUGUGCUGAAUUGCUGGCCUGUCUCUCCUAUGUACGUUUUAUUGCA
Long non-coding RNA from Alosa sapidissima (American shad), 209 nucleotides. RefSeq lists it as uncharacterized. Lineage: Eukaryota; Metazoa; Chordata; Actinopteri; Clupeiformes; Clupeidae. The record is from RefSeq and is a predicted model, not a curated record. The transcript has 4 exons.